CUGAACAUGGGCAGUGGCUUCUGACAAAUGCUGCCUCCGCUCUCAUUAGUAUUCCCAGCAUGGGCCCCGCUACCACGAAUCCAGAAACUAUGUUCUUCUCCGGGAACUCCUGCUCCCCAGAGAAUCUUUGCCUUUUGAGGAAAUAUAGCCCCCGUGAUCUCUAGGGCAUAUUCUGGAAUCACUAUGGCUACUGAGGUGUGAGGUGAGAAUGCCUAUUUCCGUGGAUCCCAGCCAUUUUGACACAAGAAACAAGUAUCUGGUGUUCUCCAGAAGAGGCUGCCUUGAAAACUCUUGCCCAGUCAUCAGACCAGAGAGGUCUGUUUCCUUACACAAUUUUCAAUGACGUUCUUGUAUAAUACUCAAUCAUUUGUGCUUUUCACCUGUCUUCCCCAAGACUGAGGCCUUCAAGGAAGAGGUCCUUCUGCUAUACAUCAGGGUAAGCCCUGUGUCUGCCACCUUCAUUUAUGAAUGGAAGUAUGGCUAAAUUACUGACCAAUUAUAUAAAAGAAUGAGUGGAUGAGUAAAGGAAGGAAAGAAGAAAUUAGGCUAAUAAGAAUUUUUCACCACACUCUUAUCCUAUAGGCGCCAAAUCCCUGGAGACCGGAGUCAAAAGUCGUAACUAUAAUUCAAGCUGUCUUAUGUGUACACACAUUUUUAUGGCUUACACUGAAAAUUAAGCACUUGAUAAUGACCUAUUUCAUUUUUAUGAAUGUUUAAAUUAGGAUAAUAAAAUCUGAAAUUAAAUUCACCAACCGGCCUCACUUCAGCCAUCUCCAGUUUUCCUUGCUAUGUCCUUUCUAGGGCACUCAG
Molecule: long non-coding RNA, 810 nt
Filed under: Sus scrofa (pig)
Lineage: Eukaryota; Metazoa; Chordata; Mammalia; Artiodactyla; Suidae
Description: lncRNA (ENSSSCG00005035757.1)
Source: RNAcentral